This 343-nucleotide ribosomal RNA is filed under the name Clostridioides difficile. Its description in RNAcentral is "bacterial LSU rRNA". It matches the Rfam family "Bacterial large subunit ribosomal RNA", at positions 2450 to 2792 of the family's 2925-position model. The record is from RNAcentral. Lineage: Bacteria; Bacillati; Bacillota; Clostridia; Peptostreptococcales; Peptostreptococcaceae.
CAACGGAUAAAAGCUACCCUGGGGAUAACAGGCUUAUCUCCCCCAAGAGUCCACAUCGACGGGGAGGUUUGGCACCUCGAUGUCGGCUCAUCACAUCCUGGGGCUGUAGUAGGUCCCAAGGGUUGGGCUGUUCGCCCAUUAAAGUGGUACGCGGGCUGGGUUCAGAACGUCGUGAGACAGUUCGGUCCCUAUCCGUCGCAGGCGUAGGAAAUUUGAGAAGACCUGUCCUUAGUACGAGAGGACCGGGAUGGACGUACCUCUGGUGUACCAGUUGUCCUGCCAAGGGCAUGGCUGGGUAGCUAUGUACGGAAUGGAUAAGCGCUGAAAGCAUCUAAGCGCGAAG